This 993-nucleotide ribosomal RNA is filed under the name uncultured bacterium. RNAcentral describes it as "bacterial SSU rRNA". It matches the Rfam family "Bacterial small subunit ribosomal RNA", at positions 356 to 1376 of the family's 1533-position model. The record is from RNAcentral.
GGGGAAUAUUACACAAUGGGGGAAACCCUGAUGCAGCGACGCCGCGUGGAGGAAGAAGGUCUUCGGAUUGUAAACUCCUGUUGUUGGGGAAGAUAAUGACGGUACCCAACAAGGAAGUGACGGCUAACUACGUGCCAGCAGCCGCGGUAAAACGUAGGUCACAAGCGUUGUCCGGAAUUACUGGGUGUAAAGGGAGCGCAGGCGGGAAGACAAGUUGGAAGUGAAAUCUAUGGGCUCAACCCAUAAACUGCUUUCAAAACUGUUUUUCUUGAGUAGUGCAGAGGUAGGCGGAAUUCCCGGUGUAGCGGUGGAAUGCGUAGAUAUCGGGAGGAACACCAGUGGCGAAGGCGGCCUACUGGGCACCAACUGACGCUGAGGCUCGAAAGUGUGGGUAGCAAACAGGAUUAGAUACCCUGGUAGUCCACACCGUAAACGAUGAUUACUAGGUGUUGGAGGAUUGACCCCUUCAGUGCCGCAGUUAACACAAUAAGUAAUCCACCUGGGGAGUACGACCGCAAGGUUGAAACUCAAAGGAAUUGACGGGGGCCCGCACAAGCAGUGGAGUAUGUGGUUUAAUUCGACGCAACGCGAAGAACCUUACCAAGUCUUGACAUCCCUUGACAGGCAUAGAAAUAUGUUUUCUCUUCGGAGCAAAGAGACAGGUGGUGCAUGGUUGUCGUCAGCUCGUGUCGUGAGAUGUUGGGUUAAGUCCCGCAACGAGCGCAACCCUUAUGGUCAGUUACUACGCAAGAGGACUCUGGCCAGACUGCCGUUGACAAAACGGAGGAAGGUGGGGAUGACGUCAAAUCAUCAUGCCCUUUAUGACUUGGGCUACACACGUACUACAAUGGCGUUAACAGAGGGAAGCAAGACAGCGAUGUGGAGCAAACCCCUAAAAACAUUCUCAGUUCAGAUUGCAGGCUGCAACCCGCCUGCAUGAAGAUGGAAUUGCUAGUAAUCGCGGAUCAGCAUGCCGCGGUGAAUACGUUCCCG